AUGAAGAGGAAGAAGAAGAUGAAGAAGAGGAGGAAGAAGAAGAAGAUGAAGAUGAAGAUGAAGAAGAAGAAGGAGAUG
This 78-nucleotide small RNA is filed under the name Arabidopsis thaliana (thale cress). Its description in RNAcentral is "ATSL005260". The record is from RNAcentral. Lineage: Eukaryota; Viridiplantae; Streptophyta; Magnoliopsida; Brassicales; Brassicaceae.